RNAcentral lists this small nuclear RNA (104 nucleotides) under Suricata suricatta (meerkat). Lineage: Eukaryota; Metazoa; Chordata; Mammalia; Carnivora; Herpestidae. The record is from RNAcentral.
GUGCUCACUUUGGCAGCACAUAUACUAAACUUGGAAUGAUACAGAGAUUAGCAUGGCCCCUGUGCAAGGAUGGCAUGCAAAUUCAUGAAGCAUUUCGUAUUUAA